This 1058-nucleotide long non-coding RNA is filed under the name Phasianus colchicus (ring-necked pheasant). Its description in RNAcentral is "lncRNA (ENSPCLG00000002349.1)". The record is from RNAcentral. Lineage: Eukaryota; Metazoa; Chordata; Aves; Galliformes; Phasianidae.
GCCGUGACUCACAGCUGAAAAGCAGCUAAGGACAAUUUCUAAUUUUCUCAGUUUUAUUUGCCCUACUCAAACUAGAAGGGGAAAAAUGCUGAAUUUGUUUCUUCUGUUGCCUUGUUAACUUUGCAUAAACUCUAAGCAGAAUCAGUGCGUGCUCUUGGAAGGUGGCCUUUACUAGCAGCUACUUCGGACCAUACAUUCUUAAGAUUAUUACUGCAUGCAGCUAUGGAUAAUACUUUUACUGGGUUUAGAAUUUAAAAAGCAUGGUAUUACAGAAGAGCCUCUGCAGGAGUUGCUUAAUUACUCUCCUUUGCUCAUCUUUCCUGAUGGUUGUUCUAGAUGGAUAACAGGACUUCACUGGGUGAAACAACAACAAAAAGAAGUCAAAAAAUGAAGACUGUGUAAGAAUUUAAUAAGGAAGCAACACUGAGGUGAAUUCCAGAAAGUACCUGUGGGACACAAAUUGGAGAACAGACAGAUAUGAUCCUUAGAGCAAUGCUUAAAAUCUGUCUUCCAUGAAAAUACUUUGAUUGACAGUUUAAUUUUAUAAUGGUAACAAGAUCAACAGUCUUGCUACUUUGUAUGACUUUUAAGCAAGUAAAUGGGUCCCGGAGUUUCCUUCAGGUUCUCUAGCACAGUGCUGGAAAUGCAGCACCUGUGUCAAAUGAAGCAUGACCAGCAGGGCAAAGUGGGUGGCUGUUCACUUCUAUACUUCCCUUGAAAGACCUCAUUUGCAGUUCUGCAUUCAGCUCUGAGGGCACCAACAUGAGGACAUGAGACUGUUGCAGUGAGCCCUGAAGAGAGCCAAAAAGAUGACCAGGGGGCUGGAGCACCUCUGAAGGUAGGCUAAGAGUGUUGGGGUUCUGGAUAAGAAAAGUCUCUGGGAGACCUUAUGGUGGCCUUACAGUAUUCAAAGUAGGCCUCAAUCUCAAGAUGAGGAGAGAUGCUUUAUCAGAGUCUGUAGUAAUAGGACAAUGGGUAACAGCUUUAAACUAGAAGGGGGUAGAUAUAGAUAAGGUACUACAAAUAAAUUCUUUACUCAGAGGAUGGUGAGGCGCUGG